RNAcentral lists this transfer RNA (86 nucleotides) under uncultured Cytophagales bacterium. Its description in RNAcentral is "tRNA-Met-CAT". It matches the Rfam family "tRNA". Rfam says of the family: Transfer RNA (tRNA) molecules are approximately 80 nucleotides in length. Their secondary structure includes four short double-helical elements and three loops (D, anti-codon, and T loops). The record is from RNAcentral. Lineage: Bacteria; Pseudomonadati; Bacteroidota; Sphingobacteriia; Sphingobacteriales.
UGCGGAAUGUCAGAAGUUGGUUAUCUGGACGGCCUCAUGAGCCGUUGCCUUUGGCCUCGCGGGUUCGAGUCCCGCUUCCGCAACAA